RNAcentral lists this ribosomal RNA (468 nucleotides) under uncultured bacterium. RNAcentral's name for it is "partial 16S ribosomal RNA". It matches the Rfam family "Bacterial small subunit ribosomal RNA", at positions 28 to 507 of the family's 1533-position model. The record is from RNAcentral.
GACGAACGCUGGCGGCGUGCUUAACACAUGCAAGUCGAACGGACAGGCCCUGAUUUUGCGGGGUGCACGAGUGGCGAACGGGUGAGUAACACGUGAGUAAACUGCCCUUGAAUUUGGGAUAACUUCAGGAAACUGGGGCUCAUAUAGGAUAGGAGCUCCUGCUGCAUGGUGGGGGUUGGAAAGAUUCGGCGGUUGGGGAUGGACUAGCGGCUUAUCAGCUUGUUGGUGGGGUAGUGGCUUACCAAGGCUUUGACGGGUAGCCGGCCUGAGAGGGUGACCGGCGUCAUUGGGACUGAGGUACGGCGCAGACGCCUACGGGAGGCAGCAGUGGGGAACAUUGCACAAUGGGCGGAAGCCUGAUGCAGCAACGCCGCGUGCGGGAUGACGGCCUUCGGGUUGUAAACCGCUUUCGCCUGUGACGAAGCGUGAGUGACGGUAAUUGGUAAAGAAGCACCGGCUAACUACGUG